This is a long non-coding RNA of Rhipicephalus microplus (southern cattle tick), 345 nucleotides long. The record is from RefSeq and is a predicted model, not a curated record. Lineage: Eukaryota; Metazoa; Arthropoda; Arachnida; Ixodida; Ixodidae.
AGGUUGCUAGUGACAGGUUGCUAUCCUACCUGCCGAGUCGCAGAGCAAUCGACUGCAAACCGCAUGUGUCGACACUGCCCACAGCUCUACGGGGCUCCUGUCCAUGUCACAGAUUCCUUAAAACUAGUAUUUGUUCGAAAAUUCUACAGCAUCAAGCUUACUUGCAUUGACAUCGAGCCGAUCUGUGACAAAUGAACGAAUAUUGACAAAUCGCCUCACGUCGUUUUUUUUUACACCGUAGCUGAAUAAGCUUGCACUCCACGCGAGUAAAAUCAAGUCUUAGGCUUCCUUGCGUCUUGCAAAACACGACCUCGUAAUAAAUAUCACGCCAAAUGGGCAUGCACA